RNAcentral lists this ribosomal RNA (672 nucleotides) under uncultured Russulaceae. RNAcentral's name for it is "eukaryotic LSU rRNA". The stretch from base 183 to 334 matches the Rfam family "5.8S ribosomal RNA". The record is from RNAcentral. Lineage: Eukaryota; Fungi; Basidiomycota; Agaricomycetes; Russulales; Russulaceae.
CGCCCNAGCUGCUCCUCNCACAUUNNUCGUCAUCCCUAUGNGCACCACCGCGUGNGUCCCCCUUCUGGCGUCGUAUCCGAGGUGGGUGCUCGCGNUUUACACAGCUCAAGCUUGACGCGAGUAGUAGAUAUGCUACUUUUUUCUUUUGCGAUCACNCGCNNUCNAUACUAGACGUUUCAACAUACGGUAUACAUCAUUGNCUCUCGCAGCGAUGAAGAAUGCAGACGAAAUGCAAUCACGUNAUGUGAAUUGCNGAANUCAGUGNAUCAUCGAAUCUUUGAACGCACACGUUGCGCCCCUUGUCAUUCCGAGGUGCACACCUCGUUUGACGUGUCGUGAAAUUCUCAAAACGCCUUUCUUUAUUGGUCUUUCGAUCGAAUGAAAGGCUUUUGGACUUGGCAUGGCUUUUUGCUGGUAUUCACUCGUUGAAGCGAGCUCCUCCAUAAAUGAAUCAGUGGUGGACCGCUGUUGCUGCAUCCUUGACGUGAUAAGAUGUUUACUACGUCAUUGGGUUUUGGCACUGUCCCUUGGGCACCUGCUUCANACCGUCUCAAUGACAACGAUGGUGUUCCGGUCACCGCCGCUUCGUCGGCGGGAGGCUUGACCCACAAAUGAACCUUGACCUCAAAUCGGGUGAGACUACCCGCUGAACUUAAGCAUAUCAAUAAGCGG